GAUAACUCGACGGAUCGCACGGCCUUUGUGCCGGCGACGCAUCAUUCAAAUUUCUGCCCUAUCAACUUUCGAUAUUAGGAUAGUGGCCUACUAUGGUGGUGACGGGUGACGGAGAAUUAGGGUUCGAUUCCGAAGAGGGAGCUUGAGAAACGGCUACCACAUCCAAGGAAGGCAGCAGGCGCGCAAAUUACGUAAUCCUGACACGGGGAGGUAGUGACAAUAAAUAACAAUACCGGGCUCUAUGAGUCUGGUAAUUGGAAUGAGUA
Molecule: non-coding RNA, 266 nt
Filed under: Gossypium arboreum
Lineage: Eukaryota; Viridiplantae; Streptophyta; Magnoliopsida; Malvales; Malvaceae
Description: Eukaryotic small subunit ribosomal RNA
Rfam family: Eukaryotic small subunit ribosomal RNA
Source: Rfam by way of RNAcentral